This 280-nucleotide ribosomal RNA is filed under the name uncultured bacterium. Its description in RNAcentral is "partial 16S ribosomal RNA". It matches the Rfam family "Bacterial small subunit ribosomal RNA", at positions 1226 to 1500 of the family's 1533-position model. The record is from RNAcentral.
UACAAUAGGCGUAAACAGAGGGAAGCGAGCCUGCGAGGGGGAGGCGAAUCCCAAAAAUAAACGUCCCAGUUCGGAUUGUAGUCUGCAACCCGACUACAUGAAGCUGGAAUCGCUAGUAAUCGCGGAUCAGAAUGCCGCGGUGAAUACGUUCCCGGGUCUUGUACACACCGCCCGUCACACCACGGAAGUUGGGGGCGCCCGAAGCCACUUAGCUAACCCUUUUGGGAAGCGAGUGUCGAAGGUGAAAUCAAUAACUGGGGUGAAGUCGUAACAAGGUAAC